GCAUUCGCGUUUGAUCCCAGCCUUCCUAUUCAUCAUCCACGGGCAAGCUCAGCCCCUGUUCCACGUCAAACAAAACUGCCUCCACCCUCCUGGCAUUUCGGUAGAGAGCCCCAGCUCAUCUCCCCUCCUCUUCGCCCGUGGGAUCAACUCAAAUCCCAGCUUCUUCCUGAUUGAUCCCGACGUCCCAAGCUCUCCGAGCUUCCUCCCGUGUCCCACGAAUGAAGCUAAUGCCGUUCCGUCCGCGAUUCAAGGAACAUCUCCCAGCCAUCCCCUGCUUCGAAACCAAGUUCCAAUCCCAUCUUCUCCGUAAUCCUCUCAAACGCCCACGUCAUGCCGCAUCCCCUGUUCCCAGCUCAUGAAUUCGUUUCCUCUUCCCGUUCGGAAUUGGUUCCAUCUCCACGGGAUAAGAUCAAAUCCCAGCUCACGGCUCUUCACUCCUUCCCAGCCGAAUCAACCAACCUUCUUCGGAUUCCACGUCCACGAAUAGAUCCAGCUCCCCCCAGCCGAGAUCCCAACGUCUCUCCCUUGUUUCACGCAUCUUCAUCUCAUCCGAAUCCCCUGUUCCGUGCCCAAGUAUCCCGUGGCUAGCCGGAUGAACUUCUCGAUCACAUCUUCACAUCUCGAUCCCCUCCACGGAAUAAUCCCCUGUUUCAACUUACACGUCUCCGUAUUCAUCCUCAUCCCGUGAACAACCCAACUUGUUCCCAACCGAUUGCUUCCUCUCAGCCGAGAACACCAUCCUACGUUCUAUCCCAGCUCCUCUUCCAGCCGAAUCUAGCAUCAUCAUUCUCUCUCGCAUCCCUUUCCUCCGGAACAAUCUCCUUCCGAUUUUUCCCAACCGAGUUCAUUCUUAUCUAUGGAUCCAAUCUUAACCUCCAACCAUCUGCCUCUUCCCAUGCGCCCAAUCCUCUUCGUAAAUCAAGCAUCCAGCAUCUUCUUCCCAACGUCCAGAUUGGAUAUUGCAAUCAUCCGGAUCAGAUCAAACCUCCACGAGUUUAUCUUCCCAUUCGGAUCAAUACAGAGAAAGAAAGAGAGGGGAUGCUGAGUCUAUAAAAGGAGGAGAGUUCUCCUUAGGGAUUAAUUCCUCCUUUUCCCCAUCGGGAGAAGAAGAAGCUGGGGUUUGGUUCCAGAUCUCUCACAGGCCAAGUUCCCACGGGAAGAAGAGGAAAGGCAGAGAAGAGUUUGGGUAUUUUGGGAAUGAUUUCCCAAAGGAAGAGAUGAUGAUUUGUUGAGAGGGAGCCGACGAGAGGAAGGAGCCAAUCAUCAUGAAGUCCCCCUGCAGUGCAGCUGUUCAACUCUUCAUGGAAGGUGAUCGUAAAUCAAAGCUAAAAUGCGCAUUGAGUCCAAAAGAUGCAUCACCGCAGGUGACCAGCCAACCGCAUGGUUCAACCCCAGUUGCACACUAGAAGGAGGCUAAGUUCAGCCAUCCAGUUCAUUGCAACCAAUUUCCAGCAGCCUGUGCAUCUCAUCUCGAUGGAGCCCUCGUGCAGCCCAUCCUCUUCUCUAGCGAGUGAUCCACAGCAUCCAAGGCCAUGCUAUCAGCUCCUUCAAGCCGUCCGCAUGUGAAUCUCCUAUGAUCAGCUCGCUUCUGCUCAUCCAGAUUUCAUCCGCCCGUCUCACACGCCUCCCAGCCGUCCGCGAAGCAUCCACCCAGCAUCCCGUGAAGCUUCCCAGCAUUCGCGUCCAACUCAUCCGCGUCUCAACCUCCACGUCCGUCUGCGUCCCAGUUUCCAUCUUCGCCAUCCAGGACGAUCCCACAAUGCAAGCGAUCGCGUUUUUCCGAGUGCAUCCACAAUCUUCCACGUUCCAGCCUCCUCAAAUUCCUUCCGUGAUUCACAGCGCAUUCCUCCUUCUGCAACGCAUCCCAGAUUCCGCGAUCGCGAUCCAGCCAUCUGCGCGCGAUUCUCCCACAUCCAAGGUGCUGCGAUCUUCCAUUCCCGCUUGCAAACCUCCCAGCAUCCGUGCCCCAUUCUCACGUGUUCCCAGUUGUCCGCGAUGCAAGCGAUUGCGAUCUUCCGAGAUUCAUCCUAUCCGUCCGUCUCCACCGCGUGCGAGAAGGGGAUCGAAGGCCAGCUUGAUAUCUCUCGCUUGGCUGGGGGAAAGGGUCUCUUAUCUCUCAUUUGGAAAGGAAAACAGGGGCUCUGCCAUUGAAAAAAAAAAAAAAAGAGAAACAGGGCAUGCUCUGCUUCCGAAAAGAAUAGGAAAAAAAUAUGGGAAAGCUAAUGUCUAUUAUGGAGGGCUAAAGUCCUAGGUGAUGGGUGAAGGAAGAUCCUUUGAUGUACCGAGUUCAUGAUGGACACACUGCAAGGGGAGAUGAUGCUACGGAGGGAGAGCAUCAUUUAUCACAGCAUAGAGAGGAUCAUUGAGGGAGACAGAGACACUAUGAUUAUUGAAUGUUGUUUUUUAUAUUCUUUUGGACUUUGAUUGUUGAACUUUGAUGGUAUAUGAAGUUGUGGACUACAUUUUGUGUUCUUACAAUGCUAAGAUUUUGUUGUGAUAAAUGUAUUUUAUAACUAUAAUUUCAAUCUUUAUGUGUUAUUAUC
Long non-coding RNA from Phoenix dactylifera (date palm), 2543 nucleotides. RefSeq lists it as uncharacterized. Lineage: Eukaryota; Viridiplantae; Streptophyta; Magnoliopsida; Arecales; Arecaceae. The record is from RefSeq and is a predicted model, not a curated record.